GAAUCCUGGCUCAGAUUGAACGCUGGCGGCAGGCUUAACACAUGCAAGUCGAACGGUAACAUAAAGAAGCUUGCUUUUUUGAUGACGAGUGGCGGACGGGUGAGUAAUGCUUGGGAAUCUAGCUUAUGGAGGGGGGAUAACUACGGGAAACUGUAGCUAAUACCGCGUAAUAUCGAAAGAUUAAAGUGUGGGACCUUCGGGCCACAUGCCAUAGGAUGAGCCCAAGUGGGAUUAGGUAGUUGGUGAGGUAAAGG
This 254-nucleotide ribosomal RNA is filed under the name uncultured bacterium. RNAcentral describes it as "partial 16S ribosomal RNA". It matches the Rfam family "Bacterial small subunit ribosomal RNA", at positions 14 to 263 of the family's 1533-position model. The record is from RNAcentral.